AUACGGAGGAUCCGAGCGUUAUCCGGAUUUAUUGGGUUUAGAGGGUGCGCAGGCGGCCAUUUAAGUCAGCGGUUAAAUCGUGGGGCUCAACCCCAUUCUGCCGUUGAUACUGGGUGGCUUGAUUGCGGUCGAGGUUGGCGGAAUUCGUUGUGUAGCGGUGAAAUGCAUAGAUAUGACGAAGAACACCGAUUGCGUAGGCAGCUGACCAGACCGCAAAUGACGCUCAUGCACGAAAGUGCGGGGAUCGAACAGGAUUAGAUACCCUGGUAGUCCGCACAGUAAACGAUGAAUACUUGUUUUCGGCGAUAUAAUGUCGGAGGCAAAGCGAAAGCGAUAAGUAUUCCACCUGGGGAGUACGCCGGCAACGGUGAAACUCAAAUGAAUUGGCGGGG
Molecule: ribosomal RNA, 392 nt
Filed under: uncultured bacterium
Lineage: Bacteria
Description: partial 16S ribosomal RNA
Rfam family: Bacterial small subunit ribosomal RNA
Source: RNAcentral